Molecule: ribosomal RNA, 334 nt
Filed under: uncultured eukaryote
Lineage: Eukaryota
Description: partial 18S ribosomal RNA
Rfam family: Eukaryotic small subunit ribosomal RNA
Source: RNAcentral
CCCUUAGAUGUCCGGGGCCGCACGCGCGCUACACUGAAGGAAUCAGCGUGGCGUUCUCCCUGACCCGAAAGGGUUGGGAAACCCGUUGAAUCUCCUUCGUGAUAGGGAUUGGGGCUUGAAAUUGUUCCCCAUGAACGAGGAAUUCCCAGUAAGCGCGAGUCAUAAGCUCGCGUUGAUUACGUCCCUGCCCUUUGUACACACCGCCCGUCGCUACUACCGAUUGAACGGUUUAGUGAGGGCCUCGGAUUGGUCUCGGCCCGCUCUUUACCGGGCGGCGCCGUUGGUCGAGAAGACGCUCGAACUUGAUCGUUUAGAGGAAGUAAAAGUCGUAACA